This 457-nucleotide ribosomal RNA is filed under the name uncultured Spirochaeta sp. RNAcentral describes it as "bacterial SSU rRNA". It matches the Rfam family "Bacterial small subunit ribosomal RNA", at positions 924 to 1382 of the family's 1533-position model. Lineage: Bacteria; Pseudomonadati; Spirochaetota; Spirochaetia; Spirochaetales; Spirochaetaceae. The record is from RNAcentral.
CACAAGCGGUGGAGCAUGUGGUUUAAUUCGAUGGUACGCGAGAAACCUACCAGGGCUUGACAUACACCGGAAGCGCCGUGAAAGCGGCGUGCCGCUUGCGGCCGGUGAACAGGUGCUGCAUGGCUGUCGUCAGCUCGUGCUGUGAAGUGUUGGGUUAAGUCCCCGCAACGAGCGCAACCCCUGCCGUCUGUUGCCACCACGAAAGGUGGGGACUCAGGCGGGACCGCCGGUGACAAACCGGAGGAAGGUGGGGACGACGUCAAGUCAUCAUGGCCCUUAUGUCCUGGGCCACACACGUGCUACAAUGGCCGGUACAGAGCGCAGCGAGGCCGCGAGGCGGAGCGAAUCGCUUAAAGCCGGUCCCAGUACGGAUUGGAGUCUGCAACCCGACUCCAUGAAGUUGGAAUCGCUAGUAAUCGCGCAUCAGCAUGGCGCGGUGAAUACGUUCCCGGGCCUU